This is a non-coding RNA of Danio rerio (zebrafish), 181 nucleotides long. The record is from Rfam. NCBI's taxonomy places the organism in Eukaryota, Metazoa, Chordata, Actinopteri, Cypriniformes, Danionidae.
GGUGAAUGGUGUGCGUGGUAUCCGUCUGCGUUUAGUGCCGUCUCUGGUCUGUGUCUUACAGGCUGUGGGACGGUUCUCACACCGCACUCACGGCCACAGAGCCACCGGAGAUCAUAGUACUGGCCUAGUGUUGUCUAAAUGACCAACCACCACUGACCAGCCUCCAUAGUCUCCAACAAAA